This 533-nucleotide ribosomal RNA is filed under the name fungal endophyte sp. DM203. RNAcentral's name for it is "eukaryotic LSU rRNA". It matches the Rfam family "Eukaryotic large subunit ribosomal RNA", at positions 135 to 653 of the family's 3401-position model. The record is from RNAcentral. Lineage: Eukaryota; Fungi.
CGUCCGAGUUGUAAUUUAGAGAAGUGUUAUCCGCGCUGGACCGUGUACAAGUCUCCUGGAAUGGAGCGUCAUAGAGGGUGAGAAUCCCGUCUUUGACACGGACUGCCAGGGCAUUGUGAUGCGCUCUCAAAGAGUCGAGUUGUUUGGGAAUGCAGCUCAAAAUGGGUGGUAAAUUCCAUCUAAAGCUAAAUAUUGAGGAGAGACCGAUAGCGAACAAGUACCGUGAGGGAAAGAUGAAAAGAACUUUGGAAAGAGAGUUAAACAGUACGUGAAAUUGCUGAAAGGGAAACGCUUGAAGUCAGUCGCGUUGUUCAGGACUCAGCCUUGCUUUGCUUGGUGUACUUCCUGUUCGACGGGUCAGCAUCAAUUUUGGUCGGUGGAUAAAGGCUUAGAGAAUGUGGCAUCUUCGGGUGUGUUAUAGCUCUGGGUCGCAUACAUCGGCUGGGAUUGAGGAACUCAGCACGCCGCAAGGCCGGGUACUUGUACCACGUACGUGCUUAGGAUGCUGGCAUAAUGGCUUUAAUCGACCCGUC